Molecule: ribosomal RNA, 1286 nt
Filed under: Halobacterium salinarum
Lineage: Archaea; Methanobacteriati; Methanobacteriota; Halobacteria; Halobacteriales; Halobacteriaceae
Description: bacterial SSU rRNA
Rfam family: Archaeal small subunit ribosomal RNA
Source: RNAcentral
CCCGAUUAGCCUGCUAGUUGUGCGGGUUUAGACCCGCAGCGGAAAGCUCAGUAACACGUGGCCAAGCUACCCUGUGGACGGGAAUACUCUCGGGAAACUGAGGCUAAUCCCCGAUAACGCUUUGCUCCUGGAAGGGGCAAAGCCGGAAACGCUCCGGCGCCACAGGAUGCGGCUGCGGUCGAUUAGGUAGACGGUGGGGUAACGGCCCACCGUGCCCAUAAUCGGUAACGGGUUGUGAGAGCAAGAGCCCGGAGACGGAAUCUGAGACAAGAUUCCGGGCCCUACGGGGCGCAGCAGGCGCGAAACCUUUACACUGUACGAAAGUGCGAUAAGGGGACUCCGAGUGUGAAGGCAUAGAGCCUUCACUUUUGUACACCGUAAGGUGGUGCACGAAUAAGGACUGGGCAAGACCGGUGCCAGCCGCCGCGGUAAUACCGGCAGUCCGAGUGAUGGCCGAUCUUAUUGGGCCUAAAGCGUCCGUAGCUGGCUGAACAAGUCCGUUGGGAAAUCUGUCCGCUUAACGGGCAGGCGUCCAGCGGAAACUGUUCAGCUUGGGACCGGAAGACCUGAGGGGUACGUCUGGGGUAGGAGUGAAAUCCUGUAAUCCUGGACGGACCGCCGGUGGCGAAAGCGCCUCAGGAGAACGGAUCCGACAGUGAGGGACGAAAGCUAGGGUCUCGAACCGGAUUAGAUACCCGGGUAGUCCUAGCUGUAAAUCGAUGUCCGCUAGGUGUGGCGCAGGCUACGAGCCUGCGCUGUGCCGUAGGGAAGCCGAGAAGCGGACCGCCUGGGAAGUACGUCUGCAAGGAUGAAACUUAAAGGAAUUGGCGGGGGAGCACUACAACCGGAGGAGCCUGCGGUUUAAUUGGACUCAACGCCGGACAUCUCACCAGCCCCGACAGUAGUAAUGACGGUCAGGUUGAUGACCUUACCCGAGGCUACUGAGAGGAGGUGCAUGGCCGCCGUCAGCUCGUACCGUGAGGCGUCCUGUUAAGUCAGGCAACGAGCGAGACCCGCACUCCUAAUUGCCAGCAGUACCCUUUGGGUAGCUGGGUACAUUAGGUGGACUGCCGCUGCCAAAGCGGAGGAAGGAACGGGCAACGGUAGGUCAGUAUGCCCCGAAUGGGCUGGGCAACACGCGGGCUACAAUGGUCGAGACAAUGGGAAGCCACUCCGAGAGGAGGCGCUAAUCUCCUAAACUCGAUCGUAGUUCGGAUUGAGGGCUGAAACUCGCCCUCAUGAAGCUGGAUUCGGUAGUAAUCGCGUKCAGCAGCGCGCGAUUCCAU